GAAAUGCGAUACGUAAUGCGAAUUGCAGAAUUCAGUGAAUCAUCGAAUCUUUGAACGCAAAUUGCGCUCUCGGGUUACCCCCAAGAGCACACCUCUCUGAGUGUCGGUUUAACCAAAUGUCACCAAUUUAUUGGUGUACGACAGUCUGAGGGUAAGGGGUUUCGGCCUCUUUCCCUUUAAAUUUCAGCCGCACGACUGUGUGUGUUCGUGGCAAGUUGCUUUCACUUAACUGUGAAUCCAAUCCAUGAACCCUAUGUUAUGUAGCCAAAGAAACAAAUGAACAAAGUUGUGAAUCUGAGAAGCUUGCUUCAAGGGUCUGUGAUUUUGUGCAUCUAUGAAUUAGACCUCAGAUGAAGUGGGAAGACCCCCUGAAUUUAA
Molecule: unclassified non-coding RNA, 378 nt
Filed under: uncultured fungus
Lineage: Eukaryota; Fungi
Description: sequence contains ITS1
Rfam family: 5.8S ribosomal RNA (bases 1-106)
Source: RNAcentral